AACGAACGCUGGCGGCGUGCCUAACACAUGCAAGUCGAGCGCGAAUGGAGCAAUCCUAGUAGAGCGGCGCACGGGUGCGUAACACGUGGGUAAUCUGCCUCAAAGCCCGGGAUAACCUGCCGAAAGGCAAGCUAAUACCGGAUAAGCCUACGGACUCUUCGGGGUCUGAAGGAAAAGGUGGCCUCUGUAUACAAGCUAUCACUUUGAGAUGAGCCCGCGGCCCAUCAGCUCGUUGGCGGGGUAACGGCCCACCAAGGCAACGACGGGUAGCUGGUCUGAGAGGACGAUCAGCCACACUGGAACUGAGACACGGUCCAGACUCCUACGGGAGGCAGCAGUGGGAAUUUUGCGCAAUGGGCGAAAGCCUGACGCAGCAACGCCGCGUGUGUGAUGAAGGUC
Molecule: ribosomal RNA, 399 nt
Filed under: uncultured bacterium
Lineage: Bacteria
Description: bacterial SSU rRNA
Rfam family: Bacterial small subunit ribosomal RNA
Source: RNAcentral